UUAUGCUUUACAAGUUGAAAACAGCAAGUCUCACUUUAUUUCAUGAUUUCUCAAAUUCACAUACAACCUGCCAUGCUUUACUGAGCUGGAAGCCAGACAACUUGGAUACACCACAACCUGCCUCCUCUUUACAUCAAAUACAUUCUGAGAAAAUAGAGGCGGCCAUUAGUGCUGAAAGUUCUAUACACACUCCAUCACCAAAAAUCCCUCUUAGUGUAUUAUCUUCCUAAUCCUUCUUUUCUGUGUCAGAAAAGUACUUUCUUUUCACUCCAGAUCUGACACCUCUUUCAUUUAUUCAUCGUCUGUGUGCUCAGGAGAGUUGAGGACAGGUUUUCAGGAGCGACAUGGCAUGAUGUGAUAUACAUGCAGACAUAAUUUUCUGGCCACAGGGUUAGAGAGUAUGUGAUAGAUGGGGGCUAGAUUAGAAACAUGAAGCUGGGAUAAGAAGGUAUUGUAGUAGUGUGGUGAGAGGCCACAGCAGUGUGCACUGGAGGGAUAGAGAGAAAUAGUGGGAUUUAGGGAUUAUGUUGAACAUCAAGUUUCCUGAACUUGUGAAAGGUAUCAAAGCGAGGGAAGAAUAAGAGAAAAAUCAUGAUGACUCUAUGGUUUGUCAGCUGAACCGCUGGGUAAAUAGUGCUGAAGUGUGGCAGGAGCCAGGGCACAACUGCCCUCCAGAGCAUUCUUCCCGACUCUGGUUCAAUGACCUCAGGUUGACAGCUUGACUUUGAUAAAUAUUAGCAUUAUUUACAUGAAGGAAAUCUGCAAACACUACAAUCUAGAGCUUCUCUACCCUCCUCAACCCUGACAGAUGUUAAAGCUUUACUGGCACAUAUCUGGAUGGUGUCAUUAUCUGCAAUGUGGAAGGCUACAAGUAGAGCUGUUUUGGAGAGGGGCAAGUUCGAGAGUUCAGUUGAAACUCAUGAAACCUACUGAGUUUUAUUUGUCUAUUAGACACCUAAGUGGAGAUGCAUGUCCACAAGUAAGUCUGAGUCUGAAAUUGAGGAGCAAUUUAUAUUCUAGAGGUCAAAUUUAGAGCCCCAAGACUGCAUGGGGUCACCUAGGAAGAGAACGCAGUGAAGGACAGGAGAGGUACCAGGAUUGAGUUUUGAGGCCCUAUGAUAUUUAGAGGUGGAAAGAAAAGGCAAAACCAGAAAAAGAGGAUGAAAGGGAGUUGCUAUUAGAGGGAAAAGAAAGCUAUAAGCUUAUGGUGUCUGAGCACCCAACGUACACAUGGAGGAGGGAGUGAACAACUGUGUCAAAUGCUGUGGAGAAGGAAUGGCAAUGUGCUGCACACACUAGUGACCUUGAUGAGAAUGUUUCAGUGGGGUCGAGGAGGCAGAUACCAGACUGCACCGGAUUAGAGCAUGCAUAGGUGGUGAUAACACAAAGAGCAAGUGCAGAUCCAGUCUUGCUGAGUCCACUUGCUCCUACUGCCAGGGAAACCUGCUUUAUCCUCCUCACCCUUGCAGCCACUCCAAAAGGUUGCAGCAGACAUGCUCACCUCUUUCCAUUUCUCCAUUAAUUACUGUGGCAUUUACUUGCUAAGCAAUGUAUUCAUUACUGUUAAUUACUGUGUGUUAAUUACUAUAUAAUUAUAAUUUUUUUCACCUCAUGUAGAUUGAGAUCCUUGAAACAGGGUCUCUGCUCCCUGUGGGGUUUAUUGUACCUACCAAAUAGAUGAUUUAGUAAUGGCUUACUUAAUGAACACAAACUGAACACAAAGGAAGGAACACAAAAAGGGAAAUAAAAUUGUUUAGCGUCUUAGUCCUCUAGGAGCCAUAAGGAAAUCACAACCACUACUCUAUACCUGUAUGUACAAGGG
This 1822-nucleotide long non-coding RNA is filed under the name Homo sapiens (human). RNAcentral's name for it is "HSALNT0286692". Lineage: Eukaryota; Metazoa; Chordata; Mammalia; Primates; Hominidae. The record is from RNAcentral.